UACGUAGGGGGCAAGCGUUGUUCGGAAUUACUGGGCGUAAAGGGCUCGUAGGUGGCCAACUAAGUCAGACGUGAAAUCCCUCGGCUUAACCGGGGAACUGCGUCUGAUACUGGAUGGCUUGAGUUUGGGAGAGGGACGCGGAAUUCCAGGUGUAGCGGUGAAAUGCGUAGAUAUCUGGAGGAACACCGGUGGCGAAGGCGGCGUCCUGGACCAACACUGACACUGAGGAGCGAAAGCCAGGGGAGCAAACGGG
This 253-nucleotide ribosomal RNA is filed under the name uncultured bacterium. RNAcentral's name for it is "partial 16S ribosomal RNA". It matches the Rfam family "Bacterial small subunit ribosomal RNA", at positions 524 to 776 of the family's 1533-position model. The record is from RNAcentral.